UGCGGUAAAGGUCGGGUGAGC
RNAcentral lists this microRNA (21 nucleotides) under Apis mellifera (honey bee). RNAcentral describes it as "ame-miR-9871-3p". Lineage: Eukaryota; Metazoa; Arthropoda; Insecta; Hymenoptera; Apidae. The record is from miRBase by way of RNAcentral.